AGCAGCAGCCGCGGUAAUACGAAGGGUGCAAGCGUUAAUCGGAAUUACUGGGCGUAAAGCGUGCGUAGGCGGUUUGUUAAGUCUGCUGUGAAAUCCCCGGGCUCAACCUGGGAAUGGCAGUGGAUACUGGCAAGCUAGAGUGUGUCAGAGGAUGGUGGAAUUCCCGGUGUAGCGGUGAAAUGCGUAGAGAUCGGGAGGAACAUCAGUGGCGAAGGCGGCCAUCUGGGACAACACUGACGCUGAGGCACGAAAGCGUGGGGAGCAAACAGGAUUAGAUACCCCAGUAGUCCCUGUCUCUUAUAC
Molecule: ribosomal RNA, 303 nt
Filed under: uncultured bacterium
Lineage: Bacteria
Description: partial 16S ribosomal RNA
Rfam family: Bacterial small subunit ribosomal RNA
Source: RNAcentral